GAGAGAGGCCCAGCAGCAACGGAAACUGCUAAUUUCCGCAACUUUGGUUAGAUCCCAGAGCUCACUCG
Molecule: transfer RNA, 68 nt
Filed under: Osteomugil perusii (longfinned mullet)
Lineage: Eukaryota; Metazoa; Chordata; Actinopteri; Mugiliformes; Mugilidae
Description: Moolgarda perusii (longfinned mullet) tRNA-Ser
Source: RNAcentral